UCAAAAACUGUGAGAUUGUGACCUGAGCCGAAGUCGGACGCUUAACAGACUGAGCCACCCAGUGGACUGAAAGAGAUUGGGAGUUGAUUGGAUAGUCAGAGAUGGGUGCAGAAUUUAAACUCCUGGAUCAUAGAAAAAAUUAAUGAAAUAGCAGAAAGAAUCGUAUAGUGGGCACAUUUUGUUGCUGAACAUGUUAGUCAAAUGUUGGUUGAUAAUUUCUACCUACAACGUUAGCAAGAAUUUUGGUGAAUGGACUAUGAAAAGAUGGGCAGAGACAUUAUCCGGGAUGCUGGAGAUACAGCAGUGAACAAAAUCCACACGCCCCUCUGCCACCUGGGAGCUUACAUCAAAGAGUGAGGUGGAGAAUAAACAAGACUCCCUGUGAUCUGGCUACAUGCUGUAAACUGCUCACAGUGGUUCCUGCCUCCACGCCUCAUGAACAUGGUUCCUGUGUGUAGCCCAAUGCCAACCAGUUCUUUCCUGACAUGACUUUGUCCUGGGACACCUGCUCUUUCUUGCCCUGGAGACUCAAUGAUUUUAUGUCUGGAGGUUCAUAAGUCACAAGAUAUCUGGAAUUAGGUGGGAGACCAUGCUGGUGACAUUUGGAAGAACCUGGCUGGGGAAGAAUGAAGCUCAAUUAUUUUUGUCUACUUUGCUAACAAUUCAGAGUUCUGAAAAGUCUGGAUCGCACUAUGAGAAGUUUGUGUGCUUAGUGAAAUGUUGUCCAAUUGGCCAAUCCACUUGGUCUUGGGAAAUGUCCUAGAAGCUUGGCAAGAAAAUGUUCUCAAGAGAGCACAAAUGCUGCCAAUUUCCAAUUGGCCAAGACACAUUACAAGGACAACCUUCUCUCCGAGCAACCUGGCAUUUCCACUCCAAUUGGAAUCUGCAACACAAAGAUGCACGCGGGGGAAAGACUAAGUAAACAAACCUUUCAGGUUUCCGCUCCAGGUGAGUCUUUCAUUCCGGUCUAUCUGGUGAAUCUUUCAUUUUACAUCUGGUCAGCUCCAAUCUUCUUUUGAUCACUGACCAUUGCAAAUAUGAGGGAACAGUGGGUGCCCAUUACAGGUUAGUUUUAGACGUGAGAAACAGCCAAGGUGAAUGCAGGAAGAGCGAACGGAUCUAUUUUUACACGUACACACAAGACAUCGAACCUGCCUGAACAGUCCAAAUUGUUGCUAAUAAAAUUUUAGAUUUGCUCUGUGAGAAAACCUGCCUGUCAUAUUGGCCCUUGCUCAAGUAGCUCCCAAGCCCCCGGUGCCUGUGUGGAAAAUGAUGACAGCUGUGCUCUUUGCCUGGCUGCUUCCAUUUAUGAAAACAUGGGGGUAAAUGGCAGCCACCCCCACAGGCCCAUUUACUGGGAAUCUUCUUUUGUAGCCACAGCCAAGAGUAAAGGGCCCCAACAGAAUUGAAUAACAUUCAGGCCCUACCUCAAAUAGGUUUAAUUUGCUUUUUACAAAAAAAAGACCUUAGGAAACUGGAAAAAAAAAAAAAAAAGAUAUUUACCUAUUUGGAAUUUCUGAAAAAAUUUUUUUCUUAUAAAACAGCACUCAUUUUAUGCUAUUUUAACCAACCACUUGUGACAGUUUAGGUAAGCAAGACAAAAAUAUCCGAUUAUGCCAAAUAAAAUUUUCCUCCUACAGUUUAUUUUUGGGUGUGGCUGAGGAGGGAUUAGAAGGCUUGGAAGCCUACACAUGUCCCUUGGCAAAUCUGGCCUUAUUCUGCCUGUAAGCACUAUCAAUGAUGUCACCUCUGCAAACAGAGCCUAGUGGCCGAUUAGUUGAGAUGGUUCCUUGAGUGGAUUUAUUUUUUCUUGUCUCUAGAAUUCCAGUUUCCUUUAUUGCCACACCUCUCAGUCCUGUGCUUCUGGGAUUGUGAUCAUGCCCUGUAGCUCUAUCUGCCUGACCAUCAGAGCAGCGCAGUGUGGUCCCUGCCCUGCCUUGUGCAGACAGCCCAGAAGGGGAGCUGAGGGCACCUAGGAGCAAGCCCAGCCCCAUCCCCUGUGUACUCCUCUUGACCCAUGCUCCUGGAACCCGAAAGCCAUUCUCAGAAAACCUCCUCCACACUAGCCUCUUUUAUUUCUGUUAUAGCCACAUUACUGUAAAUCCCUUGGCCACCAUAGAAAUCCCAGUCUAGAAGGGCUUUAGCUGGUGAAGGUCUCUAUCAGAUGACUGGCAAUCAGUAGAGAUUUUGUCUUUCGCUCCUGUUUGGUGUCAUCGUUCUGUACCAGAGAUGUGACUCCAUCCUCUGUAUGGAAUGCCUGGGGCAAAGCUCUCUUCACACAUUAGUUAUAAAUGAUGAGUAAAUGAGUGGAAGGAUAAUCCCAAGGGACACACACCUAUCAGCUUUCAUGUCUUCGAUGAAUGCUGGGAGACCUUCCCAGAUUGUUCCACAGGUUUUCAUUCCAGUGUUUUAGCACUCGAUUUGCUAUCAAUACAUAUUUUUCACCCCUCUUUGGUGCCAGGCAUUGUUAAAAGUCCGAUAAUUCAGUGUCUUGGGCACCAGCCAUCAAGUUGAAGGGAUGUCAACUCAGCAAUCUAAAGCAGGCGGAAGGUGCUUUGACAGGGACAUGCACAGGUGUGGCGGGAGUCUGGAAGGAGCACCCAACCCCGACUAAAGGAGUUAGGGAAGUCUGCCUGGAAGAGAUGCCACCUCAAAUUAAAAAAAUAGUUGGCACUAGUGUAGUAAGGAAGAGGUAGGAGAAGGAAGAGAAAGAUUGACUUUUUGAAGGCAUGCAGGCCUAAAGCUUACUGAAUUAAAAGUAAAUUCACAAGUUCUUUAUUGUAUCCAAAUCACGUCUGCUGUCUUCUUAUAGUCCAUUUCCUUUUGUUGGACUAGCUUUGCAGGUGGGAGACUCAUCAUCCAGCAUUUCCCACAUAGUCAUCUUCACAUUUUUUGUGAUAAAUUCUGUAUCCUCUAUCUUAAGAGGGAGAUGGGGACAAUGGCGUUUGCUCAGAAAACAACAACAACAACAACAACAACAACAACAACAACGUUGUGAGAGAACUUAAAAGUUGGGACAUGAAAUAAAUUUCUGAAGGAGCUGGUGUUGUUCUGCCUGAAGAAAUGACAACUCAAAGGGCUCCAAAUUUUUGAAGGAUUAUAGUUUAGAAGAUGGAUUCAUCCAGCCUUGACAAUUCUUCAUGGCGCCACUGGGUUUCCUGUCAGAUAUCAAGAAUUAACCCAACCCCAUGACUGUGGUGCCAACAGCAGUCAUUACUAUGUAUGCAGUACUCUGGAUGAACUUUCCUCACUAUUCUGAGGUUGGACAUUGUCAGGGUGCUGCUGAGGGUUCAACUGAGACCAGUGGGUAAAAGACAGGGAUUCAACUUUAGAAACGGCCAGAGGUGCUCAAUGAUGGAAUAAGUUGCUCCUAGAUGUGGAAGUCUCCUAACAGGAGAAGUUUUCAGAGGCAUGUUUUGGGGAAAAUGUCAAACUACCAAGUCUCCUGAAGGCUCUACCCUCCCACACCCAGCCGUAUGGUGAAAGAGGCAAAAGAGAAGCUGUCUCUGAGAAGCAGCAAAGUCAGAGAUCAGCCAGUUGCCUGGUACCAUGAUGUCACCUACUACUGUUUAGUUUCCAUCCACCAGGUCUACACUAGUGAAUACUCCAGGACCAGUAAAGUCACUUGUUUGCCAGCAGCAGCAGUUAUUUCUGCAUUGACCAAGCUGGUACUUUGCUCACCAUCAAACCCAGUCCAAGUAUAGGUGGCUGCUUCUGGAAUUAACUUCCAAACGCUGGAUGGAAGUCAGGUGUGUUUUCACCGGGUCCGUGCAAAUCCAGGCAUUGGGUUGAUGUUGUGGAUAUAACAGGACUGAUUUCUGGCCUUUGGGGAGCCAGCACACAGACAAUGAAGCAGGAAAACAUGAUGACCUAUGAUCCACCAGAAUGGAAGCUCCAUGAAUGCAGGAUGGUGCUUUUUUCUGCUUUUGCUCACUACUGUAUCACAAGCCCUUAGGGCAUUGCCUGCAAGCAGUAGGUACUCAACAAGUAUUUGUUGAAAGGUUAAAUAUGAUAAGAGAAAAGUAGAAAGGUGACCAAACAUGGGAUAGAAAGGAAUGUUAACCAGAGGAAGUGACAUAUAACAACCCCCUAAAGCAUAAGUGAGUUAGCCUGGAAAAGUAGGGAGAUCAUGAUUUUUUGCUUUUCACUUGCUUUUUAUUUGGGGUCUGUACUGCUUCCUGUGAUGUCUCCAUAGCUAAAUUCUUUUAUUUUUAUUUAGUUUCUGACAAACUGACAUGCAGUAAGUAUGGAUCUUUAUUUAGCAUUUGCAAUGUCCAAAGUGGAAUUCUUAACCGAAGCUACUACUAGCUUCUGACUAUUUAGGUCUCCUGAGAUCGCUGAGGCCAGGUCCUGCGUGCUUAAUUGAAUACGUCACUUAUGUAUGCAUUCACGUAUUCAUUCAUUAUACACAUGUUUGUUCAGCACCCACCGUAUGCAAGAUAAUAGCUAUGUACUAAGGUGCCAGCAGAGACUGAUCAGCAAGCAUUGGAUCAAGGAAUUGACAGUUCCCCAGAUUUGAGCGUUUAUGGGGAAAAUUGAUGACAGAAGAAUAAGGUUUCGAACAGCCGUGGUCUGUGUCCAGUCCAUUAGCAAGCGAUUUUGGCAUAAGCAGCAUAGAAAUUAGCAGGUCAUGCAACUAGAUCUUUCCCUUCUGUAGUUGAAUCAAAUUAUCUCUUAGGGCGCCUGGUUGGCUCAGUUGGUUGAGUGUCUGACUUCGGCUCAGGUCAUGAUCUGAGCACCCUGGGUUCAGAGCCCCGUGUCGGGCUCUGUGCUGACAGCUGAGAGCCUGG
Molecule: long non-coding RNA, 4790 nt
Organism: Felis catus (domestic cat)
Lineage: Eukaryota; Metazoa; Chordata; Mammalia; Carnivora; Felidae
Exons: 9
Source: RefSeq, a predicted model, not a curated record